RNAcentral lists this long non-coding RNA (1775 nucleotides) under Salvia miltiorrhiza (redroot sage). RNAcentral describes it as "long non-coding RNA (SMIL_LNC008124)". The record is from RNAcentral. Lineage: Eukaryota; Viridiplantae; Streptophyta; Magnoliopsida; Lamiales; Lamiaceae.
AAAAGAAAAUAGUGCAGAAAACUCUCUCUCUCUCUCCAAUUUCUUUGCGUUCUUCACUUUUCUCUCAUCCCUCUCUUUGUCUUCGAAUCCCAGUAGCAAACUAAGGUAAUUUCUCCUAAUCUUUUUCUUGUUUCUUCAAUUUUGAUUGUUGGAGUUCGUAAGGUUUUGCACUUCUCUUCCAUUCUCGUUCUUGUUUGAUGGCUAUGGGCAUUAUAUAUGGAGGUUGAUGGGCUGAGGUUUAGUUGUGUGAGGGAGGAGGAGAGGUCGCCGGCGUACAUCACCGGCGGCGGUGGCGUGGUAGCUGCCGCCAUUUUUNUUUUUUUUUUUAUUUNGUUUUGUCUCCCUGUUUUUUUUACAGCAGCAGGGUCAUAUCUUGUGGACCGUUUUUCAUCUGUUUUCUUUCAUCAAACCCCAUCAAUAUAGGUACCAUUGGAAAGCUAUCGUCGUUGGCUUUCCAACGGUACCUUCGGAUCGUCAAUCCGACACCAGACGACGGAGUUAUGAGCCAAUCAAGUCAGGGUGUCGGGUCUGUGCGGGAUUGUCUGCGCGAGUUUGAGACUAUUUUCCGGCGUCAAAUCGACGCCGUAAGGAAGAAAGAGUUUAGGGGUUUUGUAGUUCAUGUCGUAGAGUUUCAAACCAUAGUUUCUCUUCCGAAAAUCGAAGGUCGGUUUGGCCGGAAUGGACAUCGAGAAGUAGCUCCAUAGGUGUUGAAUAUGAGAUCUAACGUAUGCUUAUUUUGAUUUUUACUUAUGAUUUUUUAUGAUUAACUUGCUGAACCUGAUAUUAUUUUAUUAAGACUUAAUACUCGAGUAAAUUGUAUAAGAAGCUCGUCUCUAAGCUCUAAGUAAAUAAUUAAAUAGUUAGCUCAUAAUGUUCUUAACUAGGAUAUGGAAUAAUUGUAAGAUUAUAUGAAAGUCUAAAAUCUUUUUCACUUGAUAAUUGGAGUGGAUGUAUUUGAUAAGUUUAGUUUAACAUAGUAUUGCUAGUAAUUGAAUUGUUAUAUUAUAACGGUUUAAUUAUAUUAGAGUAGAAAUUCCCUAUGUUUCUAAGAUUUGGGCAUCUUAAAGCUUUAAAUGUAUUGUUUUAAAACGAUCUAAAUUUAUAGAGAUGUUGUGAAAUUGAGUUUAACGCCAUCACACUUAUUCAAGAAAAAAGUAACAACUAAGUCUAAAAUUUUUUCAAGUGCUAGGAGCGGCGCAUCCAAGGCUCCAGGAGGACAACCGAAGCAAACUUGAAGAGGUUUGAAUUUAAUCGCUUAAGGUGAGGUUUACUUUUAUCUGUAAGCAUAAGUUAUUUCAUGAUUAUAAUCAUUGUUGUGUCGUGCGUCAUUCAUAUGAAUGAUGGGCCCACAAGGGGUCAGGUCCACAAGGGACCGAGACUAGUCUCACAAAAUGUUAGCUAAGUGAAAAGAAGAAUUCAAUAUGUUAUGAUUCAUUACACAAUUGGUUAUAACUGCUUGCAGCGUUUACCACACUGAGUGUGUUUGCAUACUCAUACCCUAUUGUUUAUGUUUCUUUCUCAGGUUAAGGAGUUAGCGGCGAGACGACAGACAUGGAGCUCCACACUCUCCCGUUCUAUUAUAUGAUGAAGUAUUAUAUAUUGCUAUUUUUGGUAAAUAUAUUUUGCUACUGACUAACUUAGUCUCUUCUAAUUUUGGUGGGUUGAGACCUUAUAUAUAUUGGUUUAUGAUUAUGCAUUUUGAUGACAACUGUGACCGAAUAUAUAUAUGCGAUCGAAUAUAUAUAUGCUUUGCUUAUCGUAUGUGUAGUUAGGGG